RNAcentral lists this ribosomal RNA (451 nucleotides) under uncultured bacterium. RNAcentral describes it as "partial 16S ribosomal RNA". It matches the Rfam family "Bacterial small subunit ribosomal RNA", at positions 354 to 796 of the family's 1533-position model. The record is from RNAcentral.
GUCGAGAAUCUUCCCCAAUGGGCGAAAGCCUGAGGGAGCGACGCCGCGUGAGGGAUGAAGGCCCUUUGGGUUGUAAACCUCUGUUAGGGGGAAAGAAAAGCAGUGGAAGCAAUAUGUCCAUUGCCUGACGUUACCCCCAGAGAAAGCUCCGGCCAACUCCGUGCCAGCAGCCGCGGUAAUACGGGGGGAGCAAGCGUUGUCCGGAAUCAUUGGGCGUAAAGGGCGUGUAGGCGGCUUGGCAAGUCGAAUGUGAAAUCCCACGGCUCAACCGUGGAACUGCGUUCGAAACUGCGUUGCUUGAGUGCGGGGGAGGUGUGCGGAAUGCCUGGUGUAGCGGUGGAAUGCGUAGAUAUCAGGAAGAACACCGGUGGCGAAGGCGGCACACUGGCCCAGCACUGACGCUGAGGUGCGAAAGCGUGGGGAGCAAACAGGAUUAGAAACCUUGUAGUCC